GACGAACGCUGGCGGCGUGCCUAAUACAUGCAAGUCGAGCGAAGCGGCGGACGGGUGAGUAACACGUAUGGAACCUACCGAUAAGCGGGGGACAACAUCCGGAAACGGGUGCUAAUACCGCAUACUUAUCGACGGCCUUGCGGUGCAUUAGCUCGUUGGUGGGGUAACGGCCCACCAAGGAAAUGAUGCAUAGACGACCUGAAAGGGUAAUCGGCCACAUUGGGACUGAGACACGGCCCAAACUCCUACGGGAGGCAGCAGGGGGGAAUCUUCCGCAAUGGGCGCAAGCCUGACGGAGCAACGCCGCGUGUGUGAAGAAGGUUUUCGGAUCGUAAAGCUCUGUUGGUAGAGAGGCGUUAUCUUACCAUAAAGCCACGGCUAACUACGUGCCAGCAGCCGCGGUAAUAC
RNAcentral lists this ribosomal RNA (408 nucleotides) under uncultured bacterium. RNAcentral describes it as "partial 16S ribosomal RNA". It matches the Rfam family "Bacterial small subunit ribosomal RNA", at positions 28 to 526 of the family's 1533-position model. The record is from RNAcentral.